GACGAACGCUGGCGGCGUGCCUAAUACAUGCAAGUCGAGCGAAGUUUUUCUGGUGCUUGCACUAGAAAAACUUAGCGGCGAACGGGUGAGUAACACGUAAAGAACCUGCCUCAUAGACUGGGACAACUAUUGGAAACGAUAGCUAAUACCGGAUAACAGUAUUUCUCGCAUGAGAGAUAUUUAAAAGUUGGUUAUGCUAACACUAUGAGAUGGCUUUGCGGUGCAUUAGCUAGUUGGUGGGGUAAAGGCCUACCAAGGCGACGAUGCAUAGCCGACCUGAGAGGGUGAUCGGCCACACUGGGACUGAGACACGGCCCAGACUCCUACGGGAGGCAGCAGUAGGGAAUCUUCCGCAAUGGGCGAAAGCCUGACGGAGCAACGCCGCGUGAGUGAAGAAGGAUUUCGGUUCGUAAAGCUCUGUUGUUAGGGAAGAAUGGAUAUGUAGUAACUAUACAUAUAAGAGACGGUACCUAACCAGAAAGCCACG
Molecule: ribosomal RNA, 487 nt
Filed under: Gemella morbillorum
Lineage: Bacteria; Bacillati; Bacillota; Bacilli; Caryophanales; Gemellaceae
Description: bacterial SSU rRNA
Rfam family: Bacterial small subunit ribosomal RNA
Source: RNAcentral